RNAcentral lists this ribosomal RNA (247 nucleotides) under uncultured bacterium. RNAcentral's name for it is "partial 16S ribosomal RNA". It matches the Rfam family "Bacterial small subunit ribosomal RNA", at positions 523 to 769 of the family's 1533-position model. The record is from RNAcentral.
AUACGAAGGGGGCAAGCGUUGUUCGGAAUUACUGGGCGUAAAGGGAGUGUAGGCGGUUUAGUAAGAUAGCGGUGAAAUACCAGAGCUCAACUUUGGAAUUGCCGUUAUAACUAUUAGACUUGAAUGAUAGAGAGGAUAUCGGAAUACCCAGUGUAGAGGUGAAAUUCGUAGAUAUUGGGUAGAACACCGGUGGCGAAGGCGGGUAUCUGGCUAUUAAUUGACGCUGAGGCUCGAAAGCAUGGGGAUC